Long non-coding RNA from Mauremys reevesii (Reeves's turtle), 373 nucleotides. RefSeq lists it as uncharacterized. The transcript has 3 exons. The record is from RefSeq and is a predicted model, not a curated record. Lineage: Eukaryota; Metazoa; Chordata; Testudines; Geoemydidae.
AUAGUCCAAAAGGUCAACAAAAGCAUAUUGGAGAUCUAGUAAAGGUACAUAGGAAAGGUCUAUCGGAACAACUACUUGUGCAAUAGGAUGGGAAGAAUGCAUAGGGCAGAGACAAUGCCUUUGGAAGAAGCCAUCAUUUUCCUGCCUCUAAACCUGGAUGAUGCCCUGCCUAGACAAGAUUGAGGGAAGAAGGAUCAAGUGGAAUAAGCCAGUUCAUCUAUUGACAUCUCACUUAUGGUAUCCAUUCCUGACUCCAGAAGAAAGCUCAAUGCCAUUCUGGGAUCUAGCUUCUUACAUGGUGACUGUUACUGUAGCAUCUAAGCACCUAAAAAAAUAAGUGUGUGCAUACUGAUAUGUUGUUUUCUCUUCCCUC